UCACAUCAUUUUGAUUUAAUCACCACAAUUUCUCAUAUCAGAUGCUUCUCUUUGUUGUACAAUACGUGCAGCUGCUGUUUGGAACCUUGGUGAGUUGGGGAAGAUAGCUGGCCGACUGGUCCUGGAUGGUUCAUGCUUGAUUUUAGUUUCUUGCAUGAUUGUGUUUGCUGCGUAGAUUCUUUUAUCUAUUUUCUAUGUACUUGGCAUGAAUAAAUUUUAAUUUUCUCACCCGCCUUCUCAUAUAUAUAUGGUGUACAGGUUGCGCUGCAUCUAAAGGGCGGAGACAAUGGAUGGAACAAAAGAUGGAUCGUCGCACAGAGGCAUGAGCAUGGUGGAUAAUGAAGGAGAGAGGAGGUGGCAUAUGGAGGGUGAGAAGGUGGAGGAGGUGGUAUAUGGAGGGUGAGCAGGCGGACGAGGUGGCACUCCCACAACCUGCAGCUGGCUUGUCGCGCGAGAAUCAGCAAUGCAACAUACUUGUGUUUGUGCCUUUUUAAUCGCCUAUCUAUGUUUUUGAACAUAAUUCUAGCUGUUAACGAAUCAACAUACUGCUAAUUGCAAAGUUAGUACCAUUGUUGUUCCCUUUAAGAUUCUCACAAACAGAAUUUUUUUCUUUCAUUGUUCAACAUUUGUUAUAGAAAAGGUACUCCACUUUGUAUGCUCUCUAUAUGUUCAACUUGGUCUAUUGUUGUAUUUGUUCAAUUCCUCUAAGCAUAUGUUAUUCAGUAUAUUUAUAUUUUGAAUGUUUCGCGGUAUUUAACUUCAACCCCUGCUUGUGAGCCCGGAGAGAGGGAUCUUUUACUCCGUCCUUUAUUUACACCCUGUUGAUUAUCAUCGAGUUCACUCUCCUGUUGAUUGGAAUAUUUUAAAACGUCAACAUUUCUCAGGUAAUCUUUUCUGAACAAGCGUACAUGUUGUGCAGACCAUCAAAAACCUGUAUGUUGAGAAUGAAAGGGUAGUGCUCGAAGGUCGUUGGGAAGAAGGUUUUGUUGCGAUCGUAGCAGUUGGCGCUACUAAUGUUAGUUCUGUCAGGGUAUGUAUUCUGCCCAAUUAUGAGUUAUUAUUCUCUUAUUGCUGGAAUAUAACUGAUAGCACGAGCAAAUAUUAU
Molecule: long non-coding RNA, 1105 nt
Organism: Lolium rigidum
Lineage: Eukaryota; Viridiplantae; Streptophyta; Magnoliopsida; Poales; Poaceae
Exons: 3
Source: RefSeq, a predicted model, not a curated record